UACGUAGGGGGCAAGCGUUGUCCGGAAUCAUUGGGCGUAAAGAGCGUGUAGGCGGUCCGGUAAGUCGGCUGUGAAAGUCCAGGGCUCAACCCUGGGAUGCCGGUCGAUACUGCCGGACUAGAGUUCGGAAGAGGCGAGUGGAAUUCCCGGUGUAGCGGUGAAAUGCGUAGAUAUCUGGAGGAACACCGGUGGCGAAGGCGGCAUCCUGGACCGGCAUUGACGCUGAGGCGCGAAAGCCAGGGGAGCAAACGGG
RNAcentral lists this ribosomal RNA (253 nucleotides) under uncultured bacterium. RNAcentral describes it as "partial 16S ribosomal RNA". It matches the Rfam family "Bacterial small subunit ribosomal RNA", at positions 524 to 776 of the family's 1533-position model. The record is from RNAcentral.